This 253-nucleotide ribosomal RNA is filed under the name uncultured bacterium. Its description in RNAcentral is "partial 16S ribosomal RNA". It matches the Rfam family "Bacterial small subunit ribosomal RNA", at positions 524 to 776 of the family's 1533-position model. The record is from RNAcentral.
UACGAAGGGGGCUAGCGUUGCUCGGAAUCACUGGGCGUAAAGCGCACGUAGGCGGAUUGCUAAGUCAGGGGUGAAAUCCUGGAGCUCAACUCCAGAACUGCCUUUGAUACUGGCGACCUUGAGUCCGGGAGAGGUGAGUGGAACUGCGAGUGUAGAGGUGAAAUUCGUAGAUAUUCGCAAGAACACCAGUGGCGAAGGCGGGUCUCUGGACAGUUCCUGACGCUGAAGCACGAAGGCCAGGGGAGCAAACGGG